This is a long non-coding RNA of Bos mutus (wild yak), 1654 nucleotides long. The record is from Ensembl. Lineage: Eukaryota; Metazoa; Chordata; Mammalia; Artiodactyla; Bovidae.
GACUGUCCUCCGUGGAAAGCUGACUCUGCGAUGCUGGCCAUCAGGUAGCGGGCCAGUGGGGUCAGCCGCAGAGACCACCACGGGCUUUGGCAGGCGUGUCACAGGCAGCUUAGCCUUAGCAGUGGGGAGGGUGGGCCCACACCCCACACUCUCCCGCAGGAAACCAGCGGAGCCCCCGCCCUCUCAACACCUGUGUCUCCCCCCCGCCCCACAGGUCAGAGGGCACCCAGCUCCCAGGCCCAUCACGAGCCAGCCCAGAGCCCGACACCAAGAGCAGCGAACCCGAGGAUGGUGAGGCCAGAGGCCCAGAGCCCCCUCCAGAGGGAGCCUGGGGGUCCGGCAACAGCCCAGCGAGCAGACCCCCGGGCCCAGCCCGUGCUUCUCCAGGGCUGGAUGAGCAGCUGUUCCGCUCGGUCGAGGGCCAGGCCGCCUCUGAUGAGGAGGACGACCGCGAGAAGUGGCAGGAGGCGCAGCGGCUUCCGGCCGAGGUCACAGCACUGCUGGCUGGUCUCUCCGGCUGCGGGAGUGGGUAGGUGCUCCCGCGAGGACGUCCAGGAUCGGGCAUACCGGGGGCCGGGCCCCCACGGUCAUCCUGGGAGCACAGGGGCGCCCCUCUAUGCAGUGAUGGGCCUGGGACGUGGGAGGCUGACCUGAUUCAUAUCCAGGCUGGGUCCCUUCCCUGCUGUUUCACGCUCGGUCCCCGGAUCCAUUGGUUGAGCCGAUGGCCCUGGGCAAGUGUCAGGGAGAAAUGAGCUGAGCGAGGGUACACUUCCUGGUGGCUUAAUUCCCCCUGAUCCUCACUCCAGUGACCACGGGUCCCCGGACCUGCCCCACAGCUCGAGUGUGACCCCCCCCACGUGUCAGACCCUUUCCUAACCCACUGCUCUCAACACUUAAGCCCGCCCCCCACCCCGGUCAAGUCACCUGACUUCUGAGCCUUAGGCUUCCUGUCUCUAAGAUGGGACACUAACACUUGCCUGGCAGAGGAUUUGUGAGGAUUCACCAUUGAGGGUAUAAAAUGCCCCCAUGGGGCCUGAUCCUGGCAGGCACUCCAUGGGAGUUGGGUGGGGGGGCAGCGCUGACUCUUUUAUUAUAAAGUUCUGCCGAUUUUCUUGGGUCACUGUAUCACCAACCCGUUAAGUCAACAAGCAUAUGAAGCACAUAUGAUAUGCCAGGCAAAUUUGAGGGCCCCUGGCAAACAGCACUAACCAAGGUAGCUUCCCCCAACACUCCCUGCCCAGGAGCCUCUGUUCUCCUGAGUGGUGACAAGCGUGAGGACGAGGACGGGGCAGGACAUGCUAGGAGGGCCACUGAGAAGGUGCUGUUUGAGCAGAGAUCUGAAGGAAAUGAGGGGAAAGCCUUUCGGGCAGAGGGAACAGCUGGUGCAAAGGCCCUGGGGCACAUGGGAGGGGCCUGGAGGAGGCUGCUGUGGUUGGAGCAGAAAGAGCGAAGGUGAGUGGGAAGGAGCUCAGGGAGGUAACGGGCAGACUGGGCAAGGCCUCUGGCUUUUGCUCUGAUGACAUGGGGAACCGGGGAAGGGUGUGGGCAGGGGGUGCCAUGGCCCCACCUAGCUUUCAGGGGAGACAGACUCGGUAAUAACGCAUUCCCGCCACCUGCAGGCUGGAACAGACUUUGGAAAGCAGCCCCCCCUGUG